CGGGUGUAGUUGAGUGGCACAAUGUCUCCUUCCCAAGGAGAAGCCGGGGGUUCGAUUCCCCUCACCCGCUCCA
RNAcentral lists this transfer RNA (73 nucleotides) under Candidatus Roizmanbacteria bacterium RIFCSPLOWO2_01_FULL_38_11. Its description in RNAcentral is "tRNA-Gly". It matches the Rfam family "tRNA". From Rfam's summary of the family: Transfer RNA (tRNA) molecules are approximately 80 nucleotides in length. Their secondary structure includes four short double-helical elements and three loops (D, anti-codon, and T loops). Further hydrogen bonds mediate the characteristic L-shaped molecular structure. tRNAs have two regions of fundamental functional importance: the anti-codon, which is responsible for specific mRNA codon recognition, and the 3' end, to which the tRNAs corresponding amino acid is attached (by aminoacyl-tRNA synthetases). tRNAs cope with the degeneracy of the genetic code in two manners: having more than one tRNA (with a specific anti-codon) for a particular amino acid; and 'wobble' base-pairing, i.e. permitting non-standard base-pairing at the 3rd anti-codon position. Lineage: Bacteria; Candidatus Roizmaniibacteriota. The record is from RNAcentral.